UUCCAUUUGAUUCCGGAAGUUAUCCACCUCAUUCCCUUUCUGCAAAGUGGAACACCCCCCUCUCUUUAAAUCUCAGAUACAAUUUUUGUCUGUGGUGUCCUAAACCAGAACAAUAUUUACAUAUUUAAAUACUUCAUUACGUAUUUAACCCGCAAGAAAUGUGGGUUAGUUGCAGACCAUCUCACAAUUGUAAAAUGCAUCCCUAAUUUCUCCUACAAGGACCCAUGAUUUGGUUUCAAGCACAUUUAUAUACACACAUCCACGUUUAACCACCUAAGCCAGGAUGUUUUUUUAAACAUUGACCUUUAAGUGCCAAGAAAAGUGCAUGCGAUGAAAGAUUGAAAAUACUAAUAAGUAAAUGUCCCUUUCAGUGUAAUGCUGUCCCGCCCAGGCCAGAUGAUACACACUGCAUGAAUAAAAGCCAACACUGACCCACUGCAUCUUUAGGAUCACCCUCAUUCAGUCCAGAGAUGCUUUUACUCAAAAUUAUAGGCUUUGACAAUUACUCUGAAAUUGCAGUGAGGUUUUAAUGUGUACAAGUAGGUUGGAAAUUAUGAGUAGGAAGGAAGUAUAUUGAAAAAAACAGUGUCACUAUUGGUUAUAUUAAGCCAAAAACAACUCGCUAAGAAAGCGUGCAAUUUGGAGUACGGUAGUUGUUGAACUACUGGUUUUGAACUUGAGCCAGCUUGAGAGAGCGGCCUUGCUCCCCUCUGCUAUCACUCCAUGGAGUGGUGUCUCUAUGGAGCUACUGAGCAGAGAAUGUUUUCAAUCAGACCUCAAGUUAAAAUCAACUUCAAGAGCAGGUUUGGCUCUUGAAGAAAAACAGCAGAAACCUGUGGAGACACCUUUUUGGAGUACAUAUAUUGGGAAGGCCAGAGCGAUGGCAAGGCCUUUGCAAGGGGCAUGGGUGCCCAGUUUGUUCCAUUUCCUGGUGAGGCUGACUGAAUGUCAGUGCAAUGCCAGUACAAGCUGGUAUCUGCAGCUUGGGCUGUGGCCAUCCACCCUCCUUCUGUGUGCUCCUACAGCUGAGAGAAUGCUGGCAGGUGAAUCUGGCAGUUCUUGAGCCCAGGACUGAAAGGGGCAGACUUCACUUCAGCCAUCCCUGGCCUAACCAAAACACCUGGAAUUGCCCAGUCUUGGCUUAGGUAGAAUUGCCUUGUGCCUAUGCUUUGGUAGGAUUAGUGCUGGGCUAUAGCAUAUAAGGUUUGCAGCAAAGUUGUGCCCUGCCAUGGUACUGUUCUGCUGUCUGUGGGCCUGAGUCAAGUGCUUUUCAGCACUACCUUAUCAAAGCUGAUCUCCGGGGAAGUUGUGGUUUUGAUGAAACUGCAUUAUGUACUGGAAAGUUUUUGACCAGUUCUGUUUGAAUACAAAAUACUGACACAGCUGCUGAAGUAUGGACUGGUGCUGCUGGAGGAAGUUGUACUGAGGGGGUGGCAAACAUGCUUGUUAGCAGGAGAUGAUCUAAUAUAUUCCUAGUGAAAGUCUGAGGUAAAAGUCUAAAACACGAGUAAUUUUUUACCACAGCAUUUUCCAAAAUAAUUUGCUUAUGGCCCCUUUCUUAAGUAAAUUCUGCUGUCUGGAUGCCUCACCCUUCCACUCACACCCACAGGGAGUGAUGUGAAGAAAGGCACUACUCAAUACUUCUUCUUGUCUGAGGAUGUGCUUCUCCUUUUCCUCCUCAAGGACC
Long non-coding RNA from Strigops habroptila (Kakapo), 1687 nucleotides. The record is from Ensembl. Lineage: Eukaryota; Metazoa; Chordata; Aves; Psittaciformes; Psittacidae.